GAAUAAUUUCCUUUUAAUUUGUCAUCGGUGUAGCCUGCCAGCUCCCUGUCCACGGUGUUUUCUCCAGCAAACCAGCCCCAGCCCAGUGCCACCAGUGCAGGUGAUGCUUCCAGGGCAAGCAGCAUGGUCAUUGCUUCUGCUGCACGUUAUCCAGCAGACCUGGGUGGGAGGGUAAAUAAAAAUGUCUGUGGCUGCCUCCGUGGACUAGCACUCCUGCUGCUUCUGACAGGAGGAAAAAGCAUUCCUGUUCUUCAAGAUGAAUCACUGGCAUUGUGUUUUUGUGGACAAAGUGAUCGCCUGAGCUACUCUGCAACAGCUACAGCACCACAGGUUACGAAGUGGAAAGGGGAACCUGGAUACCUGGAUCAAGAUUUAAAUCAUAAAGAAAUUAGUGCAAAAAAAAAAAAAAAAGCAUCGUCAGAUUCUCAGAAACCAUUACAUGAUGUAUUCUAUUAUUUAGCUUUGUUUAACUGGAGCUGAAGUUUUCACAGACUCAUGCAUAUUCUCUGAAUACAUUGGAAGAAAGAAAUGAAAUACUUAAUGACACAAUAAACAAAUUGCUCUGAGAAGCCUUGAGUUUCA
This 582-nucleotide long non-coding RNA is filed under the name Anas platyrhynchos platyrhynchos (common mallard). RNAcentral describes it as "lncRNA (ENSAPLG00000031130.1)". Lineage: Eukaryota; Metazoa; Chordata; Aves; Anseriformes; Anatidae. The record is from RNAcentral.